This 499-nucleotide transfer RNA is filed under the name Pseudanabaena sp. CCY9710. RNAcentral's name for it is "partial miscellaneous RNA". The stretch from base 255 to 327 matches the Rfam family "tRNA". The record is from RNAcentral. Lineage: Bacteria; Bacillati; Cyanobacteriota; Cyanophyceae; Pseudanabaenales; Pseudanabaenaceae.
UAGGGAGACCUAUUUAUGUCUAGACUGAACCAAUACAGAAUUAGGUCAGACAUAAGUCAUCCCAAGGUCGUUCGAGAUUUAUUGGAAAGCUUUCAAACUAAGUCAGGUUCUAAAUUUGGCUAACAUAAAGGGCCAUUAGCUCAGUUGGUUAGAGCGCACCCCUGAUAAGGGUGAGGUCACUGGUUCGUGUCCAGUAUGGCCCACUUGAGAAGCUAGCAACUAGAAGCCAAAAGCUGAAAGUAAUAGUUAACUCUGGGGAUAUAGCUCAGUUGGUAGAGCGCCUGCUUUGCACGCAGGAAGUCAGGAGUUCGAAUCUCCUUAUCUCCACCAAACUACUAACAAAGACCAACAAAAGCAAAAGCAAGAGUUUAGCAACUCAUCUAGUUAGGUAACACCUAAACAACUAGAGAGACUGCUAAAUUCUAGCGAAAGCGAGAAUUUAGAAAGAACCUUGAAAACUGCAUAGUAAUAGUAAUAAGAAGCAAGUAGAUCCAAAGUG